GGGGAAUUUUGGACAAUGGGGGCAACCCUGAUCCAGCCAUUCCGCGUGAGUGAAGAAGGCCUUCGGGUUGUAAAGCUCUUUCGGCAGGAACGAAACGGUGGCCCCUAAUACGGGCUACUAAUGACGGUACCUGAAGAAGAAGCACCGGCUAACUACGUGCCAGCAGCCGCGGUAAUACGUAGGGUGCGAGCGUUAAUCGGAAUUACUGGGCGUAAAGCGUGCGCAGGCGGUUCUAUAAGACAGAUGUGAAAUCCCCGGGCUUAACCUGGGAACUGCGUUUGUGACUGUAGGACUCGAGUGUGGCAGAGGGGGGUGGAAUUCCACGUGUAGCAGUGAAAUGCGUAGAGAUGUGGAGGAACACCGAUGGCGAAGGCAGCCCCCUGGGUCAACACUGACGCUCAUGCACGAAAGCGUGGGGAGCAAAC
RNAcentral lists this ribosomal RNA (425 nucleotides) under uncultured bacterium. Its description in RNAcentral is "bacterial SSU rRNA". It matches the Rfam family "Bacterial small subunit ribosomal RNA", at positions 356 to 773 of the family's 1533-position model. The record is from RNAcentral.